AAUAUUGCACAAUGGGGGAAACCCUGUUGCAGCAACGCCGCGUGAAGGAUGAAAGUUUUCGGAUCGUAAACGUCUACCAGUAGGGACGAAAGAAAUGACGGUACCUAACUAAGUAGCCCCGGCUAACUACGUGACACCAGCCGCGGUAAUACGUAGGGGGCAAGCGUUAUCAGGAAUCACUGGGUGUAAAUGGUGCGUAGGGGUCAAUGUAAGUCAGAUGUGAAAUCCCGGGGCUCAAACCCGGGCGUGCAUUUGAAACUGUAUAGCUAGAGUGCAGGAGAGGAAAGUGGAAUUCCUAGUGUAGCGGUGAAAUGCGUAGAUAUUAGGAGGAACACCAGUGGCGAAGGCGACUUUCUGGACUGUAACUGACGCUGAUGCACGAAAGCGUGGGUAGCGAAC
Molecule: ribosomal RNA, 399 nt
Filed under: uncultured bacterium
Lineage: Bacteria
Description: partial 16S ribosomal RNA
Rfam family: Bacterial small subunit ribosomal RNA
Source: RNAcentral